This 894-nucleotide ribosomal RNA is filed under the name Triticum aestivum (bread wheat). RNAcentral's name for it is "partial small subunit ribosomal RNA". Lineage: Eukaryota; Viridiplantae; Streptophyta; Magnoliopsida; Poales; Poaceae. The record is from RNAcentral.
AUGGCCAAUGCUACAGCCUCAAGUUUGAUGCCAGAUGGCCGAAGAUCUGUAUGGAAACUCAUCUGGUCUGUUGAUGUACCCCCUACUGUCUGUAACUUCGCUUGGCGGGUAGUCACAGAUUCACUACCCACCUGGAGGAAUAAGCACAAGAGAACUAUUGAGACAACAAGUCUUUGCCCAGUCUGCGGUAUGGAAUCAGAGGAUAACUUCCAUCCACUGUGCCGGUGCCCUAGAGCACGCGAGCUAUGGAUGCAUAUGGCAGAGGUUUGGAGAUUACCAGAUGUUGAUCAGGUCAGAAAUAGUGCGAAGGAAUGGCUAUUCCAAGUGUUGGAGCCGUUAAUGGAUAUUGAAAGGAGCAUGUUACUUAUGACACUGUGGCGCUGUUGGUACGUCCGUAAUGAGAUAGUGCAUCAGAAGAACCCACCUCCUCUUGAGGUGUCGAGGAAGUUUCUCAUCAGCUACCUCGAGUCCCUGAUUGGCAUUAAGAUGAACUCGAACAUGGACCCGCUGAAAGGAAAACAGUUGUUUCCUAUGACCAGAAGUGAUCUUCCGGUUAUGGUGGAGAUGGAUUCACUACUAACAGUGAAGAUGAUCCAAGGAAGAGAUCAAGAUAGAUCCAUUUAUGCGUCUUUAGUUAAAGAGAUUAGAUAUCUCAGUUCCCUUCGUGAGGUCCAACCCUCAAACCCUCUCCCAAUCCUCAAAAGUAAGGGUUGGGGAGCAAAACCUACCCCAACCCUCAUUUGGCGGUUAUCCUCGCGCGGGAGAAAAAAAUCCUCCCAACUCCCGCGCCCACGCCCGCGACUGCCGCUGCUAGUCGCCCUCGUCGCCGGCGGCCGCCCCGUCGAUCUCCCGCGCGCAACGACAACGUCGUUCAUGGGAAAUAUUCCGUUAUAA